CUCUUCCGAUCUUGGUCCCUAUUAUGUAAAGUGAGUUAUUUCAUGGUGUUUUAGUAAAAUAGUCACGAAUGUCACGAAGCGGUCGCCAUAAUGCGACUUCCGGACUUGACAUACUUCGUGUAAGUUAUUACAAUAAUAAGUACG
Molecule: long non-coding RNA, 144 nt
Organism: Hyposmocoma kahamanoa
Lineage: Eukaryota; Metazoa; Arthropoda; Insecta; Lepidoptera; Cosmopterigidae
Exons: 3
Source: RefSeq, a predicted model, not a curated record